Mus pahari (shrew mouse) is the source of this 408-nucleotide long non-coding RNA. RefSeq lists it as uncharacterized. Lineage: Eukaryota; Metazoa; Chordata; Mammalia; Rodentia; Muridae. The transcript has 3 exons. The record is from RefSeq and is a predicted model, not a curated record.
UUUAAGCCGGAAUGAACUUGCCGUGCUAGUCGGGUUCCAAGAGAUAUGAUAUCUGUCUAUGUCCUUGUUUUAUUUUGUAGGUCUUUUAUCCCUCCAAGGCACUGAAACUUCCUUCGUCUUCUCCUUCACUGGGCCUGAGUAGCUGCAGUUUCCAAGCUCUUCUGGAAAGGGCAUCAUGGCUCUUUGAGUGAGGCACAUGGAGGGAGGGCUGAAGGUUGAAAUCGAUGGGGGAAAAGAGUGAAGAGAGUCUUCUUUGGAGUGGGCAGCAAACUCCCUAGCAGAGUGAAUGCAGGACGCAUCCAGUGUCUAAGGGCACUGUCUAAUCACUGAUAAAGAAGUGUGCUGCUGUCAUGGCUGCUGGGCUCAUCGGAUUCUUCCUAUUACAGGCAGUAUCUUGGGCAUAUGGUG